This 871-nucleotide ribosomal RNA is filed under the name uncultured bacterium. Its description in RNAcentral is "bacterial SSU rRNA". It matches the Rfam family "Bacterial small subunit ribosomal RNA", at positions 57 to 935 of the family's 1533-position model. The record is from RNAcentral.
GCAGUCGAGGGGUAUGCUUCUUCGGAAGCAGAGACCGGCGCACGGGUGCGUAACGCGUAUGCAAUCUACCUUUUACAGAGGGAUAGCCCAGAGAAAUUUGGAUUAAUACCUCAUAGUAUAGCAGUUUCGCAUGAAACCACUAUUAAAGUCACAACGGUAAAAGAUGAGCAUGCGUCCCAUUAGCUAGUUGGUAAGGUAACGGCUUACCAAGGCUACGAUGGGUAGGGGUUCUGAGAGGGAGAUCCCCCACACUGGUACUGAGACACGGACCAGACUCCUACGGGAGGCAGCAGUGAGGAAUAUUGGACAAUGGGCGCAAGCCUGAUCCAGCCAUGCCGCGUGCAGGAUGACGGUCCUAUGGAUUGUAAACUGCUUUUGUACAGGAAGAAACACUGGUUCGUGAACCAGCUUGACGGUACUGUAAGAAUAAGGAUCGGCUAACUCCGUGCCAGCAGCCGCGGUAAUACGGAGGAUCCAAGCGUUAUCCGGAAUCAUUGGGUUUAAAGGGUCCGUAGGCGGUUUAAUAAGUCAGUGGUGAAAGCCCAUCGCUCAACGGUGGAACGGCCAUUGAUACUGUUAGACUUGAAUUAUUAGGAAGUAACUAGAAUAUGUAGUGUAGCGGUGAAAUGCUUAGAGAUUACAUGGAAUACCAAUUGCGAAGGCAGGUUACUACUAAUGGAUUGACGCUGAUGGACGAAAGCGUGGGUAGCGAACAGGAUUAGAUACCCUGGUAGUCCACGCCGUAAACGAUGGAUACUAGCUGUUGGAAGCAAUUUCAGUGGCUAAGCGAAAGUGAUAAGUAUCCCACCUGGGGAGUACGUUCGCAAGAAUGAAACUCAAAGGAAUUGACGGGGGCCCGCACAAGCGGUGG